This 75-nucleotide transfer RNA is filed under the name Erinaceus europaeus (western European hedgehog). It matches the Rfam family "tRNA". Rfam says of the family: Transfer RNA (tRNA) molecules are approximately 80 nucleotides in length. Their secondary structure includes four short double-helical elements and three loops (D, anti-codon, and T loops). Lineage: Eukaryota; Metazoa; Chordata; Mammalia; Eulipotyphla; Erinaceidae. The record is from Rfam by way of RNAcentral.
GGGGGUGUAGCUCAGUGGCAGAGCGCAUGCCUCCAGGCAAGUAUGAAGCCCUGGGUUCAAACCCCAGCACCACAU